UACGGGGGGGGCAAACGUUGUUCGGAAUUACUGGGCGUAAAGCGCGUGUAGGCUGUCUCGCAAGUCGGGUGUGAAAGCCCUGGGCUCAACCUAGGAAGUGCACUCGAAACUGCGAGACUUGAGUCCUGGAGAGGAAGGCGGAAUUCUCGGUGUAGAGGUGAAAUUCGUAGAUAUCGAGAGGAACACCGGUGGCGAAGGCGGCCUUCUGGACAGUGACUGACGCUGAGACGCGAAAGCGUGGGGGGCAAACAGG
This 253-nucleotide ribosomal RNA is filed under the name uncultured bacterium. RNAcentral describes it as "partial 16S ribosomal RNA". It matches the Rfam family "Bacterial small subunit ribosomal RNA", at positions 524 to 776 of the family's 1533-position model. The record is from RNAcentral.